This 77-nucleotide small RNA is filed under the name Xanthomonas campestris pv. campestris str. ATCC 33913. Its description in RNAcentral is "Xanthomonas sRNA sX9". It matches the Rfam family "Xanthomonas sRNA sX9". Lineage: Bacteria; Pseudomonadati; Pseudomonadota; Gammaproteobacteria; Lysobacterales; Lysobacteraceae. The record is from Rfam by way of RNAcentral.
AUGUACCACACGUACACUGCGGUUCCUCCGCGCCGUCCGCGCCCCCCCUGGCGACUGCUCGCUACGUUUUGCUAACC